Molecule: unclassified non-coding RNA, 148 nt
Organism: Macaca mulatta (Rhesus monkey)
Lineage: Eukaryota; Metazoa; Chordata; Mammalia; Primates; Cercopithecidae
Rfam family: Metazoan signal recognition particle RNA
About the family: The signal recognition particle (SRP) is a universally conserved ribonucleoprotein. It is involved in the co-translational targeting of proteins to membranes. The eukaryotic SRP consists of a 300-nucleotide 7S RNA and six proteins: SRPs 72, 68, 54, 19, 14, and 9.
Source: Ensembl
GCCGGGCAUGGUGGCAUGUGCCUGUAAUCCCAGCUACUCGGGAGGCUGAGGCAGGAGAAUUGCUUGAGCCUGGGAGGCAGAGGUUGCAGUGAGCUGAGAUCAUGCCACUGCACUCUAGCCUGGGCGACAGAGUAAGACUCUGCCUUAA